This 248-nucleotide ribosomal RNA is filed under the name uncultured bacterium. Its description in RNAcentral is "partial 16S ribosomal RNA". It matches the Rfam family "Bacterial small subunit ribosomal RNA", at positions 524 to 776 of the family's 1533-position model. The record is from RNAcentral.
UACGUAGGGUGCAAGCGUUGUCCGGAAUUAUUGGGCGUAAAGAGCUCGUAGGCGGUUUGUCGCGUGUGAAAGCCCCGGGCUCAACCUGGGAACGGCGCGCGAAACGGGGGGGCUUGAGUUCGGGAGAGGAGAGUGGAAUUCCCAGUGUAGAGGUGAAAUUCGUAGAUAUUGGGAAGAACACCGGUGGCGAAGGCGGCUCUCUGGACCGAGACUGACGCUGAGGCGCGAAAGCGUGGGGAGCAAACAGG